RNAcentral lists this ribosomal RNA (253 nucleotides) under uncultured bacterium. RNAcentral's name for it is "partial 16S ribosomal RNA". It matches the Rfam family "Bacterial small subunit ribosomal RNA", at positions 524 to 776 of the family's 1533-position model. The record is from RNAcentral.
UACGUAGGGGGCAAGCGUUAUCCGGAUUUACUGGGUGUAAAGGGAGCGUAGACGGAGGAGCAAGUCCGAUGUGAAACUCCGGGGCUUAACCCCGGAACUGCAUUGGAAACUGUUUAUCUGGAGUGCCGGAGGGGUAAGCGGAAUUCCUGGUGUAGCGGUGAAAUGCGUAGAUAUCAGGAGGAACACCGGUGGCGAAGGCGGCUUACUGGACGGUAACUGACGUUGAGGCUCGAAAGCGUGGGGAGCAAACAGG